CUACGGGCGGCACCAGUGAGGAAUAUUGCACAAUGGGGGGAACCCUGAUGCAGCAACGCCGCGUGGAGGAUGACGCAUUUCGGCGUGUAAACUCCUUUUAUAUGUCAAGAAAAUGAAGGUAGCAUAUGAAUAAGCACCGGCUAACUCCGUGCCAGCAGCCGCGGUAAUACGGAGGGUGCAAGCGUUACUCGGAAUCACUGGGCGUAAAGGACGCGUAGGCGGGUUGGAAAGUCAGGUGUGAAAUCCUACAGCUUAACUGUAGAACUGCACUUGAAACUUCUAAUCUAGAGUAUGGGAGGGGGAGAUGGAAUUAGUGGUGUAGGGGUAAAAUCCGUAGAUAUCACUAGGAAUACCUAAAGCGAAGGCGAUCUCCUGGAACAUUACUGACGCUAAGGCGUGAAAGCGUGGGGAGCAAACAGGAUUAGAUACCCCAGUAGUC
Molecule: ribosomal RNA, 439 nt
Filed under: uncultured bacterium
Lineage: Bacteria
Description: partial 16S ribosomal RNA
Rfam family: Bacterial small subunit ribosomal RNA
Source: RNAcentral